CGUCCAUUAGAGAAAUCUUCUCUUGCAGUUUUUGAACCUUCCUCAACUACAUGUGGAUGGUCUGUCUCUACUAUACCAGAUGUUGAAGUUGACACCAUGUCUGUUGGAAGAAGUUGAAUUUGACCUAAAUUUUCUGCUAGGGGAGGCUGAUCUUGGACCAUUAUGAGUUUAUCAAAGGCAUCAUGGACAGAUGUGAAAUUAGAAUGUUCCUUUCCUGAUAACUUACUGUCAGAU
Molecule: unclassified non-coding RNA, 234 nt
Filed under: Hevea brasiliensis (rubber tree)
Lineage: Eukaryota; Viridiplantae; Streptophyta; Magnoliopsida; Malpighiales; Euphorbiaceae
Source: RNAcentral